This is a long non-coding RNA of Capsicum annuum, 1228 nucleotides long. RefSeq lists it as uncharacterized. NCBI's taxonomy places the organism in Eukaryota, Viridiplantae, Streptophyta, Magnoliopsida, Solanales, Solanaceae. The record is from RefSeq and is a predicted model, not a curated record. The transcript has 3 exons.
CUUGGCUAAGUUCCUUAUAGUAGCGGUAUCCAUCACUAGAGGUGUCCCUAUGGAACUCACAAUUUGUUUUACAUAAUGCCAUGAGUGCAUAUGAAAUGGCAGUCCAGGAAGAAGAAUCCAAACUGGAGAAAUUGUCGAUGUUCGGUACUCGCAUUGGAAUCCCGACUAAUCUGGAUUGUACAAUGCAGGGCCCAUUCUGGGGGCGGCGCUCCCAACAGGAUUUCUCCAUACCCAUGGCUUGAAUCUGAGACCUUUGGUUAAGGGUAAAGUAGUCUCACCACUACACGACAACCAAAAUUGAUCUUAAUUUAUUAUUUUCUUAUAAAGAAUAUGUUGAAUCUCUAGUAAAAAUAACUAUAAAUUAAAUAAACUUUACUUUUUAGAAAGGAAAAAUUACGAAAACUAGAAUAUUUAAGACCUUAAUUACAAUAAAUAGCAACACUUUCUCAAAAUUUCAAGUUGUAGCAAAAGUAGCAAUAUUUUAUCCAUUUUAUAGAAAUGCACGUAGGUUUCUCCCAUUAUUUUUCCUUUUCCCAUUUUAACUCCACUAUUUCACUUCCCUCCAAUCUAACGUAUCUUCUAACCUAUUUUUGUUUUUUCAAAUUUUGCCAUUUUCUCUCAAUUUGGUGAUAAACAUUGUGAUCCAUCAAAUAAGGUUAGUUGAUUUUUACAGUUAUUGCAUGUUAUCUCUUCCAUAUAAUUUAUAUAUUUUAUUUUUUUUAGAUUUUUUCUUCAACACUUAUCUUCAGUUUUUUUUGGAGGGGGUGGGGGGACUUUUUCUUUUUUGUUGAAAGUUUUUGGAGGUCUACUAUAAUGGCAGAACACUCGCAUUGUAGAAGUUCAAUUAGAGUCGAAGAGAGGUGUUAGCAUAGAAGAGGUGAGAUCGAAGAAGCAUAACAAUCCGAAGAAGAUUAUGGAAAUCAUGAAACGGAAAGCAUUGAGAAAACCUUCAUCCCCAAAACCCACAAAAGUUCAAAAAUCUAUGAAAAUGAGGAAGUCAAUCAAAAAAGAAGAAUUUAGUAAAAUAUCAAGUCCUAUUUCAUCUGAUUAUGAAUUUGAAGAAAAGAAAGUGGUAGAGGUAUUUUUAUAUUUGUAUGUUUAUAGAUUAUGGAGAAUAUGUACAUAUAUGUAUUUUUUAUGUACAUUUUAUUUGAUUUGUAUGUAUUUAUCAGUUACUAUUAAGAUAUGAAAUUGUAGUUGUUAAUGUGAAGAUAUGUAUUUGUUAAUG